Molecule: ribosomal RNA, 556 nt
Filed under: Hydnotrya inordinata
Lineage: Eukaryota; Fungi; Ascomycota; Pezizomycetes; Pezizales; Discinaceae
Description: LSU rRNA
Rfam family: Eukaryotic large subunit ribosomal RNA
Source: RNAcentral
AUUGCCUCAGUAACGGCGAGUGAAGCGGCAACAGCUCAAAUUUUAAAGCCGGCGCCCUCGGCGUCCGCGUUGUAAUUUGGAGAGGCAGCUUCGGUUAGGGCGCCAGCCUAUGUUCCUUGGAACAGGACGUCACAGAGGGUGAGAAUCCCGUGCCUGGCUGGCUGUCCCUUCCCAUGUGAAGCGCCUUCAACGAGUCGAGUUGUUUGGGAAUGCAGCUCAAAAUGGGUGGUAAAUUUCAUCUAAAGCUAAAUAUUGGCGGGAGACCGAUAGCGCACAAGUAGAGUGAUCGAAAGAUGAAAAGCACUUUGAAAAUAGAGUUAAAAAGUACGUGAAAUUGUUGAAAGGGAAGCGCUUGAGACCAGACUCGGCCUGUGGAUGAUCACCCGUUCCUUCUGGGCGGUGCACUUGUCUCGGGCCGGGCCAGCAUCKGUUGAGGCGGCGGKAGAAAGGUCUCGGGAAUGUGGCUCCCCUCGGGGAGUGUUAUAKCCCGGAACGCAAUGCCGUCAGCCUCGACCGAGGACCGCGCCUUUGUGCUAGGAUGCUGGCGUAAUGGUCU